This is a long non-coding RNA of Populus euphratica (Euphrates poplar), 616 nucleotides long. RefSeq lists it as uncharacterized. The record is from RefSeq and is a predicted model, not a curated record. The transcript is spliced from 2 exons. Lineage: Eukaryota; Viridiplantae; Streptophyta; Magnoliopsida; Malpighiales; Salicaceae.
GGCAGAGAAGGACGCUUGCACCGCAUCGAUGCCUCUCGUCUGCGCGAUGAAGACGACAGUGAUGUUGAAGUUGGUCUCCGGGUUUUCUGCUUGCGUUCUUCUUUCUUAUGCUCACUGUUUUCUUCUUUUUUUCCUUCUCUGUGUAAUUGCUUUUCUUUGGCUCUGUUUUUUUUUUUUGCUCUGGAUUUCUGAGUCCUUUUUCUGGUUCCCCCCAGUUCUUUUUCCCCGUAUGUGUUUUCUUCUCUGGUCGUCCCCUGUAUAUUUGCCUUUUUUGCUGUGUUUUAUGCCAUGUUUUUCCUCCCCCUUACUAAGACUUUUCUCCGGCUUUUAUAAAGCCAGAGAAAGUCUUGUGUCCCUGUCUCCAGAAAUGGCGAGCAUCGUGGAGGCGAGAGAUCGUGGGCUUCAGAAACGGCAUCGUGGUGUAGUGGCCGUGAUUUGCUGGAAUUUCCUCUGUUCAUGAUCUGCCGGAUUUUCCCCUGUUGAGUCGGUUUUCAACCAACAGAUGAUGAAUCCAAAACGGCGUCAUUUGGGGUGAAAAAUGACAAAUUGUAGUUUGGUCCCUGCCUUUUUGAAAUGUAUCAAUUGGGUCCCUUAAUCAAUAAAUUGUUUUUAAUUU